This 45-nucleotide non-coding RNA is filed under the name Mytilus galloprovincialis (Mediterranean mussel). It matches the Rfam family "Histone 3' UTR stem-loop". From Rfam's summary of the family: The mRNAs of metazoan histone genes lack a poly-A tail. The record is from RNAcentral. Lineage: Eukaryota; Metazoa; Mollusca; Bivalvia; Mytilida; Mytilidae.
UAAACGGCCCUUUUCAGGGCCAUCCAUAUUUUACAGAAAGAGUCU